RNAcentral lists this long non-coding RNA (218 nucleotides) under Pelobates cultripes (western spadefoot toad). The record is from RNAcentral. Lineage: Eukaryota; Metazoa; Chordata; Amphibia; Anura; Pelobatidae.
GCUAAUUUUUGUUCAAAUCAUUGUUUUGUGCUCCUUGAAACAACCACACAGUCUUUUUGCACAGCAGCCUGUAUUUCUUCUGAGGUUACCUGUGGGUUUUUCUUUGUAUCCCGAACAAUUUUUCUGGCAGUUGUGGCUCAACUCUUUCUUGGUCUACCUGACCUUGGCUUGGUAACAAGAGAUCCACAAAUUUUCCACUUCUUAAUAAGUGAUUGAAC